CGCUCGUUCUCAAAACAACAUGUAAACAACUUUGAUGGUGUGUAAAUGUUCAAGUUAAUACCUAAGAACUAAAACUUCGCACACGAAUAUUAGUCCCGUGUCCGUUUUUUGGCUUGCCCACCAUUCAAGACGUCAUCUUUCGUCUGGUCAUUGUGAAGAGGUAGUGUAAAUAUCAAGGGAGCGGAUGUGAUGGUUCCACCAGCAUACAAGAGUAACCUCAAUUGUUUCAACAUUGAAUUGUUCGAAAUGAACAUCCCACUUCCUGCUUACAAUCUUCUUACGGGCCAUCAGAUGUGUAAAAGGGAAGUGUGCCCACCACAGAGGCACACAAUUAUGAUACCUGUUUGGAAAAGUAAAAUUAAAAAAGAAAAAUAAAAAAGAAAAAAAAGCUUUCGUGAAUUGUAAUACUAAACAGAAAUAGUUUUCAUUAUACAUUUGUAUAAUAUAUGGAAACACUAUGAAGGCGUGAUGACAGUCCAGGAACAGAAAUAAUGUGAAAUGUUUAAUGUUGUGGUAUACAGCAGGGGAGACUUAUUGUCCACUGCCAGUAAUUUUGUUAAAUGUUCCCGGUAAACAUAUAACAGCGUCGAAGUACAGUGCGAAGUUUUGUUGCCAUUUAUGAGUCUAAAUUAUAAAUAGUUGAUAAUCAUUCAUACCUUCGUACUCAGCCGGAGGUAAAGCGGGUCUUUUUAAUGAGAAAUAUUUCCAGAACUCCUCAAUGAUUCAAGAAGACUGCUCACG
This is a long non-coding RNA of Macrobrachium nipponense, 741 nucleotides long. RefSeq lists it as uncharacterized. The record is from RefSeq and is a predicted model, not a curated record. The transcript is spliced from 4 exons. NCBI's taxonomy places the organism in Eukaryota, Metazoa, Arthropoda, Malacostraca, Decapoda, Palaemonidae.